Molecule: ribosomal RNA, 492 nt
Filed under: uncultured bacterium
Lineage: Bacteria
Description: partial 16S ribosomal RNA
Rfam family: Bacterial small subunit ribosomal RNA
Source: RNAcentral
AGUGAACGCUGGCGGUAGGCCUAACACAUGCAAGUCGAACGGCAGCACAGUAAGAGCUUGCUCUUACGGGUGGCGAGUGGCGGACGGGUGAGGAAUACAUCGGAAUCUACUUUUUCGUGGGGGAUAACGUAGGGAAACUUACGCUAAUACCGCAUACGACCUACGGGUGAAAGCAGGGAAUCUUCGGACCUUGCGCGAUUGAAUGAGCCGAUGUCGGAUUAGCUAGUUGGCGGGGUAAAGGCCCACCAAGGCGACGAUCCGUAGCUGUUCUGAGAGGAUGAUCAGCCACACUGGAACUGAGCCACGGUCCAGACUCCUACGGGAGGCAGCAGAGGGGAAUAUUGGACAAUGGGCGCAAGCCUGAUCCAGCCAUACCGCGUGGGUGAAGAAGGCCUUCGGGUUGUAAAGCCCUUUUGUUGGGAAAGAAAAGCAGCAGGUUAAUACCCCGCUGUUCUGACGGUACCCAAAGAAUAAGCACCGGCUAACUUCGUG